This is a long non-coding RNA of Esox lucius (northern pike), 1509 nucleotides long. NCBI's taxonomy places the organism in Eukaryota, Metazoa, Chordata, Actinopteri, Esociformes, Esocidae. The record is from Ensembl.
GCUCAACUAACUUUUCAUCCCUUUGCAUUUGUUGUGGGAACCAGCACUGUCAGUGUACUUCGCUUGAUAACGCUGGGGGGCUAGAAGGGGGGAAUUUGUUGCACACUCCGUCUCCCCACCACCUCUCCUACUUUACCUUUGAACAUUUUCAAGAGGCCAGAGGGGACCUAGGGGAGAGCAUACAGGGCAAUUAGCUUGGACAAAUACAAAAAAAAGCCCUUGCGUCCUCUGUUGCCAUCCUUUUCGUUCUCUAAAAGUCAGCGGAAAGUGAAGAAAGGAUUUUGUUUUGAUAAAUGGAGACAGAAGGGGACACAAGGAAUUGAGGAAAGACUACUGAGUUGUGGCCAGAAAAGCAAAUUUGAUGGGCAAAGCUUGCAGAUUCUCAAUGACUGAAAUUUCAAACGUAUCUUCCCUUGACCACACUGGUCCUCUAGGUAUGUGGUAGAAGACCAUAAGGAAUUGUCUUUAAAUGUGAUGAGUUGUCUCUACAGUACGUCAAUGACAUCCAAUCAGGAUGUGUCACAGCUUUCUGCUGUAUUCAAUCAUCUCUGCUAGCUUUUGCUCCUGCAGCCCCAUGGCUAAUGCUAGCCCAGGCUUAGAUUUCUGGCUUUUAGAUGAAGGGCUAAUGCUAGCCCAGGCUUAGAUCUCUGGCUUUUAGAUAAAGGGCUAAUGCUAGCCUAGACUUAGAUCUCAGGCUUUUAGAUAAAGGGCUAAUGCUAGUCCAGGCUUAGAUCUCUAGCUCUUAGAUAAAGGAUGACCGUUUUAAGGACAGCUAAUUACUUAGAUUGUUGUAUCUACUGACAGUUUGGAUAAAACGUGGCCCAUCUGCAUGCUCUGUUCAUAUCAAAAUGACCCUUGUGCCAAAAACAGGAGCUUUUGAAACUUUGACUAGUUCAGUUGCCAUUGCCACUAUGACAUACAACCAACUGUGAGGUUUUUUUUUAACACAUCAAACACAUGUAAGUCGGGAUUUUAUGUAUAUCAAUGACCAAAAUUUCCACUUAAAGCAAAUGACUGUAAAAAUAUGAAACUGGCUGACGUCUAUCCCGCAAGCUCUAAGUGAGUUCCCUUCUACUGCCAGCAGGGGUCAGUAUAAGGCUAUCACAUCCAGAUAGUGGGUCUGAUAAGGCAACUCCGCCAAAGAUCAAUGGCUUUUAGUUCCAGUGCCACCUCCAGCUAAAUCUACUUCAAAUAUCGGCCCUGAGAAAACAACCAUGCCGCUUUGAAUUCAAAGCAGUUUGGUCCAUAACUUCACUGCUCAUGGACUACACAGUGCUGUUUGUAAAGUUGAACAGUCAUUUCGGUGGUUAUUUUUUGAAAUAGCAUUUUGUGCAUGUUAAUUAUAUAUGAAGGAAUACCACAAGAGGAAUAGGUUAAAGGAUAGAGCAGGAUAAUGGGUUAUACUGACGCCAUGUUUGACUGUAUUGAAUCUGUUGUAUUAUAUCAAAUAAAAAGUGUCUUUUCUGAUAUUUGAAUUGUCAGUUUAUCUAAUAAACAAAUAUCAAUUUC